Non-coding RNA from Thalictrum thalictroides, 119 nucleotides. The record is from the annotation of a GenBank genome assembly. NCBI's taxonomy places the organism in Eukaryota, Viridiplantae, Streptophyta, Magnoliopsida, Ranunculales, Ranunculaceae.
AUGCAUGUAGUGAGCACAAAGUGAACUAUUCUUUCGCCUUUUACUAAAGAAUACCGUGUGCUUGCUGCACAUAAUGGCAUACACAUAUUUUUAGAGGGUUUCAAUUCCCACUAUAGUAU